GACGAACGCUGGCGGCGUGCCUAAUACAUGCAAGUAGAACGCAGUUGCGAACGGGUGAGUAACGCGUAGGUAACUGCCUCAUAGCGGGGGAUAACUAUUGGAAACGAUAGCUAAUACCGCAUACUGUGAGAUGGACCUGCGUUGUAUUAGCUAGUUGGUGAGGUAAAGGCUCACCAAGGCGACGAUACAUAGCCGGCCUGAGAGGGUGUGCGGCCACACGGUGCCCGAUACCCGGCCCAGACUCCUACUGGCGGCAGCAGUAGGGAAUCUUCGGCAAUGGACGGCAGGCUUACAGAGCCACGCCCCGUGAGUGAAGGAGGUUUUCGGAUCGUAACGCUCUGUUGUUAGAGAAGCGGUAGCUAACCAGAAAGGGACGGCUAACUACGUGCCAGCAGCCGCGGUAAUAC
Molecule: ribosomal RNA, 407 nt
Filed under: uncultured bacterium
Lineage: Bacteria
Description: partial 16S ribosomal RNA
Rfam family: Bacterial small subunit ribosomal RNA
Source: RNAcentral